Molecule: unclassified non-coding RNA, 254 nt
Filed under: uncultured bacterium
Lineage: Bacteria
Description: contains 16S-23S intergenic spacer region
Rfam family: Bacterial small subunit ribosomal RNA
Source: RNAcentral
UACGGAGGGGGCAAGCGUUAUUCGGAUUUACUGGGCGUAAAGGGUGCGUAGGCGGUUAUGCAAGUCUGGUGUGAAAUCUUCACCGCUCAACGGGAAGAGGCCGCUGGAAACUGCGUAACUUGAGUAUGGUAGAGGCAGACGGAAUUCCUGGUGUAGCGGUGGAAUGUGUAGAUAUCAGGAAGAACAUCCGUGGCGAAGGCGGUCUGCUGGGCCAUUACUGACGCUGAGGCACGAAAGCGUGGGGAGCGAACGGG